Ochotona princeps (American pika) is the source of this 106-nucleotide small nuclear RNA. The record is from Ensembl. Lineage: Eukaryota; Metazoa; Chordata; Mammalia; Lagomorpha; Ochotonidae.
GUGCACACUUUGACAGCACGCACUGCGAAAUUGGACCACUAUAGAGGAGAUUAGCAUGGCCUCAUGCGAGGACGACACCCAAAUUCACAAAGCGUUCCAGAUCUUU